RNAcentral lists this ribosomal RNA (468 nucleotides) under uncultured bacterium. Its description in RNAcentral is "partial 16S ribosomal RNA". It matches the Rfam family "Bacterial small subunit ribosomal RNA", at positions 28 to 507 of the family's 1533-position model. The record is from RNAcentral.
GACGAACGCUGGCGGCGUGCUUAACACAUGCAAGUCGAACGGAAAGGCCCUGCUUUUGUGGGGUGCUCGAGUGGCGAACGGGUGAGUAACACGUGAGUAACCUGCCCUUGACUUUGGGAUAACUUCAGGAAACUGGGGCUAAUACCGGAUAGGAGCUCCUGCUGCAUGGUGGGGGUUGGAAAGUUUCGGCUGUUGGGGAUGGACUCGCGGCUUAUCAGCUUGUUGGUGGGGUAGUGGCUUACCAAGGCUUUGACGGGUAGCCGGCCUGAGAGGGUGACCGGCCACAUUGGGACUGAGAUACGGCCCAGACUCCUACGGCAGGCAGCAGUGGGGAAUAUUGCACAAUGGGCGGAAGCCUGAUGCAGCAACGCCGCGUGCGGGAUGACGGCCUUCGGGCUGUAAACCGCUUUCGCCUGUGACGAAGCGUGAGUGACGGUAAUGGGUAAAGAAGCACCGGCUAACUACGUG